CCUACGGGAGGCUGCAGUAGGGAAUCUUCCACAAUGGACGAAAGUCUGAUGGAGCAACGCCGCGUGAGUGAAGAAGGGUUUCGGCUCGUAAAGCUCUGUUUGUCGUGAAGAAAGAUAGAGGUAGUAACUGGCCUUUAUUUGACGUUAAUUACUUAGAAAGUCACGGCUAACUCCGUGCCAGCAGCCGCUGUAAUACGUAGGUGGCAAGCGUUUACCGGAUUUAUUUGGCGUAAAGCGCGUGCAGGCGGUUCAAUAAGUCUGAUGUGAAAGCUUUCGGCUCAACCGGAGAAUUGCAUCAGAAACUGUUGAACUUGAGUGCAGAAGAGGAGAGUGGAACUCCAUGUGUAGCGGUGGAAUGCGUAGAUAUAUGGAAGAACACCAGUGGCGAAGGCGGCUCUCUGGUCUGCAACUGACGCUGAGGCUCGAAAGCAUGGGUAGCGAACAGGAUUAGAUACCCCUGUAGUC
Molecule: ribosomal RNA, 465 nt
Filed under: uncultured bacterium
Lineage: Bacteria
Description: partial 16S ribosomal RNA
Rfam family: Bacterial small subunit ribosomal RNA
Source: RNAcentral